RNAcentral lists this ribosomal RNA (253 nucleotides) under uncultured bacterium. Its description in RNAcentral is "partial 16S ribosomal RNA". It matches the Rfam family "Bacterial small subunit ribosomal RNA", at positions 524 to 776 of the family's 1533-position model. The record is from RNAcentral.
UACGAAGGGGGCUAGCGUUGUUCGGAAUCACUGGGCGUAAAGGGCGCGUAGGCGGCCGAUCAAGUCGGGGGUGAAAGCCUGUGGCUUAGCCACAGAAUGGCCUUCGAUACUGUUUGGCUUGAGACCGGAAGAGGUUAGUGGAACUGCGAGUGUAGAGGUGAAAUUCGUAGAUAUUCGCAAGAACACCAGUGGCGAAGGCGGCUGACUGGUCCGGUUCUGACGCUGAGGCGCGAAAGCGUGGGGAGCAAACAGG